Molecule: ribosomal RNA, 253 nt
Filed under: uncultured bacterium
Lineage: Bacteria
Description: partial 16S ribosomal RNA
Rfam family: Bacterial small subunit ribosomal RNA
Source: RNAcentral
UACGUAGGGUGCGAGCGUUAAUCGGAAUUACUGGGCGUAAAGCGUGCGCAGGCGGUGCUGUAAGACCGAUGUGAAAUCCCCGGGCUUAACCUGGGAACUGCAUUGGUGACUGCAGCGCUGGAGUAUGGCAGAGGGGGGUGGAAUUCCGCGUGUAGCAGUGAAAUGCGUAGAGAUGCGGAGGAACACCGAUGGCGAAGGCAGCCCCCUGGGCUAGCACUGACGCUCAGGCACGAAAGCGUGGGGAGCAAACAGG